CACGUAGGGGGCGAGCGUUGUCCGGAUUUAUUGGGCGUAAAGAGCUCGUAGGCGGCUCAGUAAGUCGGGUGUGAAAACUCCAGGCUCAACCUGGAGACGCCACCUGAUACUGCUGUGGCUAGAGUCCGGUAGGGGAGCAUGGAAUUCCUGGUGUAGCGGUGAAAUGCGCAGAUAUCGGGAGGAACACCAAUGGCGAAGGCAGCUCGCUGGGACGUGACUGACGCUGAGACGCGAAAGCGUGGGGAGCAAACAGG
This 254-nucleotide ribosomal RNA is filed under the name uncultured bacterium. RNAcentral describes it as "partial 16S ribosomal RNA". It matches the Rfam family "Bacterial small subunit ribosomal RNA", at positions 524 to 776 of the family's 1533-position model. The record is from RNAcentral.